GCACGCGCGCUACACUGAUANAUUCANCGAGUAUUCACCUUGANCGGAAAGNCUGGGNAANCUUUUGAAAUUNUAUCGUGAUGGGGAUAGAUCAUUGCAAUUAUUGGUCAUNAACGAGGAAUUCCUAGUAAGCGCAAGUCAUCAGCUUGCGUUGAUUACGU
This 161-nucleotide ribosomal RNA is filed under the name uncultured eukaryote. RNAcentral's name for it is "partial 18S rRNA". It matches the Rfam family "Eukaryotic small subunit ribosomal RNA", at positions 1489 to 1650 of the family's 1831-position model. The record is from RNAcentral.